Corvus hawaiiensis (hawaiian crow) is the source of this 7928-nucleotide long non-coding RNA. RefSeq lists it as uncharacterized. The record is from RefSeq and is a predicted model, not a curated record. NCBI's taxonomy places the organism in Eukaryota, Metazoa, Chordata, Aves, Passeriformes, Corvidae. The transcript has 3 exons.
GGCUGCGCGCCGCCGGGCGGGACCAGGCACGGGCACCGGCACGGAUACGGACACGCCUCCGCCUGCCCCGCGACGCCGGGGCCGGGCUGAGGCGACGGGAACCGAGAGCGGCCGCGGUCCUCGGGGCACCCCACAGCCCUUCCCCAGCCGCCGCCCGGGGCCCCGGGUCCGGAGCGGGCGGCGGGCGGGGGCGGCGCGGCUGCGGGGUUGCGCGAGAGUUUGACCUGACGAUGGAUCCGGUAGAUGCACCGGCGGAACCGUCCCGCGGCGCGGAGCGGCCACGCGGGGUGAGAGCGCGGCGGCAGCUCCGCUCCGCGCUGCCUGGCUUGGCGAGGGCUCCUGUCCACCCUCGGGGCACGCAGCUGUCCGCAUCCUGCUCGCGCCCUGCCGGUCCGAGGACAGGGACUGCAACACCGGACUUCUAGGAGGGAUGAUCCUGGCAGAAGAAGUAAAGGUUGGGUCAUGUUUGGGGGCAGUAAAUUGGAGCGCUUUUGGGGAUUCCGAUCGUUACCUGUCUCCUGGAUCUCUAACAGGGAGGAGAGUGCAUUUCGUGCUAUGGAACACUGACACCCUUCUCUAAUGCUCUUUUGUGGGAAAACGCCACGGAUGUUACAGGACCCGAAGAAGAGGAGCACUGCCUGGAGAGCCUGGAAGAGGAGCUAAUUAACGAACCUCGUAAGCGGCCAGUGACCCCGCACCUGGAGGGAUGUGCAGGCACGUGCCCUGCCACCACUGGGCAAUGGCCCCGUCUCCCCCGACACCCCUCCGCUGGGACGGGAGGCAGUUGCCCACUCCGCCGGGGCUGCCCUGGGACUCUCUGCAGCCGGACCAGCCCGCGUGGCCACCGCUGCUGACGGUGCAGGAGAAAACCCCUGGACUGCUCGGCACGCUUGGAGGCAGUGGGAGCAAUGCUGCUGGGGAUACACUGGCAUCUUCUCGCUGGUGAUGCACGUGGUAGGAGCCCCAUUCAAGAAACGGGAAGAUGCAGUGACAGUCCUCAUGCCUCUCUGCUGAUGCCAUGCCAAAGUUUUUUGUGCCUUGGGAUGCAGCGUCUGGCGUCGGUAAGGGUGAGAAGAGGGAGCACAUCACUAUUCCUGGGCUCAGGGCUGUCCGUGUGACUUAAGAACUUUGAAGGGGUCUCCAAAGCAGCCUGUUACCCUGCUCUCACAAGGAACACAGCUGCAGAGCCACGUCAUCCUCUGCCCUUCUGACAGCCUCUGAAUCUGUCCAGGGCUGGGCUGCCAGGCUGGGCCUGAGUUAGCGUUUAUCUCCAAGUACCAGCUGCUAUUUCAUGGAGCUGGUUUGAGCUGUUACAGGGGGAGAGAGGCUGGCAGGAGGAAAUUAGUCUAAAUGUUCUCUCCCUCAAAGGAAAACUCAUGUUGGCUGCUUUUGCUGGGGUGGUCUCUGCCCCACAUUCAGUCCUAGCGCUGAUCUCCUUUGGAGCUGGAGGCAGUGUCAUGCUCGGCCCUGAUUUGGCGUUCACAGUGUGCUCCCCUGUGGAGAAAGAAGAGAGACAAUAAGAUGCUCCCUGGUAAAACAUCUGUGGUCUUGGCUAACAUCCACCAGUGUCUUGGGCUUCGGGUUCAAGCAUUUGCACUCUGUCCGUUCUCUGCUGCCCCAGAAGCAGGGGGGCUGGCAUGCCAGUGAUGCCAGCAGUGUGGCUGUCAUUGGGAGAGGAGGCAAACAUCGGGGUAUGGCUUCCCUGGCCAUGGGAACAUGGAGAAGCUCAGUGGAAACUCAGUGGAAGCUUGUGUUCAGAGCCUGGUAUGUACUGGGGGGUGCACUGGUUUGCACCAUCCAGCCCAAACACACUGUGAGGGCUGGUUCAGGACCCCUCUGAACUGGUACCAGUACAGCACAGCCCAGGAGCUCCACAACCUUGCAGCUAAAGCAAUGUCCUGUGCUGUCCGGCCUCAGGUGUUUGAGCAAGGGCUGCUGCAUCUUCUUUGUCACCCUGAAAUCCCUCCUGGAUGUGAGACUGAGACAACAAGACUGAGACAACAACACCCCCUAGUUAUGUACCCAGUGGGAAAACUGCUCCCCCCUGGGGCCUCUAGGACUGUGGGAACUGGGGGUGUGCUGGGGAAGUUCGCUCACUGAUGGCUGAGAUGGAAAGACCGCUUGUCUGAUCCUGGACCUUGACCUAAGUGACAGUGUGUGGCUGCUAUGCUGUACAGGUCUUACCCUGAAGCUGUUCCCCUCCCUCUUGGUCACCCCUCCACUGGGGUCUUUCCUGGGGUGUUCCUGGCUGCCCCCAGUGAUGCUAUGGGGGUGUCUGUGCCUGAAUGCUCCCUUCGAUGCCCUGAGACAGGCUGUUUUGGGACAAACCUCAGUGCUGUGGGUGGGGCAGGUCUGUGUCCUGGCAUCGUUAUUCCCAAUGCCUUGCAGUGUACCUCAUGGACAGCACUGUCCUGCACAGCCUUGGCACUGAGGAUGCUCAGGAUUACUCAGACUUCCAGCUGUUGGUACCUGGCUUAUUUAUGAAGUGCAUUAAGUGUCAGACACAAGCUGGAGGAUGAACACAGAUGAGCACUGACUGUCCUGCGGUGAUCGCAUACCUGCCACAAUUCUGCAUUGUGUGAGCCCAGUUAUGUCUGGGGAAGACCUGGAGGCACAACUGGGAAAAGUUUGCUGUGCUAAUGAGGAGCCUUGUCCGCCUCACCCCAAACCUCGUGGGCAGGCUCUGCCUGCCCUGGAGCCAGCACACAAGCUCAGGGCUCUCUUCAGCCAGCUUUGCACCCCACACAAUGGGUUUUCUCACCCCCAUGGUGGCCUGGCAGGGCCACAUGAUCUCACCUGGAGCAUGGCUUGUUUGAUUUGGAAAUAGGCGUAGGAGGAAAUAUUACAGAUGGAGACCCUACAUAAGAAACGGGAAGAAGCAGGUAUAUUGUAGGGCUGUGAAUAAAAAGUAGAGACUAAGCUCAGUCAUAAUUUAGAAAAACAGCCUGUCCAAAAAAACCUGUUACCUGCAAAAGGCCGUUUCCUUCUGCCAGCUGUCAUUGACGCCUCCAGGAACUGGGACUGGUGUUCCCAAGGCAGGGAGAGGCCAGAGCAGUCGGAGACUGCCAGGGGCUCACUGCAACUGACAGGCAGUGCUGAUGUGUGGGAUGGAGCUGGGGCAGAGCUUACAUGAGGAGAGGGCUGCUGGCACCAUGGGCAGCCCCAUCUUUCCGUCUCUAUAAACAUACUUGUGUUCUUGCAGGGCCCAGCACAGCUGGACGUGGAAGGCAAAGCCAAUCUGUAUCCCAGGGAAGGGCCCAGGGCUACACUGCAGUGCUGUGGUCUGGUGAGCUGGUUCAGGGGCAAACAGCUCUACAUUUCUUUCUGAAGGUGACAUUAAGCCUCCUGGGUUGAAGAACAAUAAUUGCCCAUCCCUGACUGCAGCUUCCAAUCACACAUCGUUGAACAGCUUGAAAGUACUGGGGGAAUGGUUGGACUUGAUGCUCUCAGAGGGUUUUUCUGAUCUAAAUGAUGCUGUGAUUCCAUGAUUUCAGCAGACAGAAGUGUUGGGUGCUGUGCAGAUAGGAUGGGCAUCACCUGACACACAGCACGAGCACCUAAUCCUUUGCCACCAGGGCUCAGCACCUCUCCUGCUGCCUGUUUAAAGCCAAAGACGUGCUUCAUUGUCUGUCUCCUCCUCCUUGUUUCUGGAAUUUUAAUAACAUGCUCUCUUAACACUUGCACUCUCUUCGUAUUGGAGUUUUGGGUCUCAGUCUUUUAAAAUUCUUCCUUAUUCACAUUUCUUUCUUACACAGUUUAUUCCUUCUUUGUUCAGAUGACUUCUCAGUAGAAAACAGAAAAAUCUCCAUCACCAGCCUGCCCCAAUUCCCUCAGAGCCAUGUGCAGAGCUCGUUUCCAUAAUAGAUGGGAAUUUGUUGUUCUACCAGUUACUGAUUUAAGUCUUUUCCUUAAGCCAAAUUUUGCAUGGAAGAUAGUGUCCAGUAAUCCAAGCUAUUAUUCUUCUGGAUGUUCCAUCUCCUCUCUUAUAUCCAAGCAACAUGCUGAGGGCUAAUGUUCAACUCAUCAUGGUGGGAGAAUGAAGAGCUACCCUACACCUCAUUUGUACACAGAAGAAAGAACAAACUUUUAUUUACAGUGUUUGCAGUCUUCAAUUUAUAAUAUUUACGGUCUCUACAGUUGCAGUGUAGACUAUGCAGGAGCUCACCACUGCGAUAACCACAAUGAAAAGGUUGCACCAAAAAGGAGUUAAUUUUCACUGCAAAAAUUACUCUGGAAUGCAGGCUGGAGUGUUGCUCCCCAGCAAAGGAAUACAAUAUUCCACUGGAAGAGGAGGAGAAAGUGAAUUUAGUGAUUAUUAUGCAUAAGCAUCCCAAACAAGCAGAACCAGGAAAAUAAUAAGAUAACUAAUAUUUUUGAGAAGCUGCUAAUUGGAAAAAAAAAUAGAGACACAGAAGCAAAAGAAUUCUAGUAAUAACUCUUCAAAAAGAGCGAACUGGUGUCUGGCAUGGAUCCCCACUGCUUCCGAGCUUGUUCAAUUAAAAUCAACAUUGAAUGGGUUUUCUUUCACUUCCAUUACUCAAGCUGCAUCCUUCAAAAGGAUGGCAAAUGAUUGAUAUGCAUAUGAAAGAACCACAGAGUAUGAAAUUACAAAAUGAUACAGGGUUUGGAUAUUUGCACUUUGAGAUAUUAAAUCUUCUGAAGGAAAAUAUUUGAGCAAAUUCUGAAUAAAGAACCCUACAGAGGAGAAAAGAAGAGCAGCAAGAUAAUCUAAUAAGGCAGGGGCUCAGGAAUUUCCAGGUGCUGAAUUUCUCAGUUCAGCCAUGACACGGUGUUUCCAGCCCAGGAUCUGCUCUCUCUGGUCUGGGCAUUCGCUACCAGGGUCUUGUGUAUGUUCGUAACACAAACGAGGUUCAAGGUCCUGACUCGGAUUUAACCCUUUCCAGACAUACAGAGAUGCUAAAAAUCACUUCAUUGCUCCUGGUGCCCACACUCCUUUGGUUUUUGCAGGCUCAGCAUUGCUGCUACACCUCUCCAAGCAGGUGGGAACCUUCUCAACUGUCCCAACAGGCUCUGCAGCACAGACAGCCCCUGCUGCUCUGCAGCCAUGGCUCCCAGGAGGGCACCACUGCUCUGGCGCUCCCUGGUGUCCUGCCCGGCCACGGACACACUUCCUCACAGCUGGCAGCUGGCAGGAAGAGCCAAAGGAGAGGUGUCAUGGUAGUUUGGAUCUCUCAAAUGUACAGGACAAAGUGCUCUGUAAAUUAGGUUUUUUUAAUGAGCUCAUUAGGAGAUAAGAGAACCAAGCACAACAAACAAGGAUUUGAUCCCCUUUGCCCAAGGGAUUCACAUGGAUUCACUUAUUCACUACUUGAGUAAUGAGAGUCCAUAAUGUAUAAGCCAUAACUGAAUCACACACCUAUGAGCAAAGAAGAUCCCAAUCCAGGGGUGAGUGUUCAUUUCUCCUCCUCCAUCAUGGAGUGGGCAUCCCCUCCAGCACAAAAGGAGGCAGGGAAGCCUCAGCAGUCCCACUGCUGUGGGAUCCACUGCAAAGGCUUUUGGGAUGAGCUGACUUCUACACCUCCCAGCUUGGUCUGUUCUAUUCCCAGGAGACAGCAGACUCUGAUAGAGCUUUCUGACAGGUGAUAUGUGGAGAUGCUGGCUGCAGGGAUGGGGAACAGUGGCUGCAUUGCAGAUCUUCAGCUCCUUCUGUCCACCUCCUGCCACCAUGGGGCUCUUGCUCUGACCCAGUGAUGCUGCUCCCAGCACACACCAGGCUGGUGGGCUACAGGCUGGGUUAGCCAAAAAUCUGAUCAGGAGUCACAGGAACACUCACAAUGUUCCAGGAGUCAGGGAGAUCGGGGAGACCUGGGUCAGGAGCUGUCACUGCUAAUUACCCUCUUACUCCUGUUGCUAACAGGAGCUCUCAGCAACUCCUGCCAGUGUCACCUCUCAAGGAUAGGAUCCUCUGUCCUGCGGGGUGCCAUUCCUUAAGGAGAAGUGGUAGGUGCGUCAUGCCAGUCUGACCUGCCACAGGGCACAGACCGAGAGCCACAGGGUCCUGGCUUUUGCUGCUGUUUGAAGUUCUUCUGGAAAUGAACCCAGGCUGGGUUAAAGAAAAACAACUUCAAUAGGCAAAACUCAACUGUCUCCCCGGGUAAGCUGCUUCAAUCUCUUGCUGUCCUCAACAAAAAUGCAUGUUUUACUUCUGAACUUCAGUUUCCCACUGUAGCUUCCAAACACGGGGGUUUUUUUUCUUUUUUUUUUAAGUCCAGCCCCUGAAGAGGAAUGUUUUCCUGCUUUUCCUGUUCCUCAGGCCCUGAAUAACAUUUCCUAAUGUGCUGGGAUUGUCUGUGGGUUAACGGGAGGGGAUCAGGGGAUACUGAGAACCGUGCUGCCACCUCCAGACCAAACCCCUCUCUUCCCACCCUCACGCUGCUGCCCUGAGUAGCCACGUGUCUGCUGGUCCUUGGAGCUCACACAGGACAGUGAAGGAUAAAGGCUGGUGCUACCACAUGGUUUUGAAAAAAUGUGGCUGCCAAAAGGGUUUGGUCAUCUGAACAGGUUGAGAAAUGCUGAAAAUCGCAGGAAAACAGGUGCUUUUCUCCUUGUGUUGGAGCUGCCCAGGAAGGUGUGGGGCUCCUGUGCUGGCACAGAGCCCAAGAGCCACGCACCCCCUGCACCCUCAGGAAGGUGGCCAACCCUGUCCCCCCCACUCACGGUCUGGUCCCCAUGGAUGAGUGCCUGCACCAGCUCAAGCCUGGCUCCCACAGAGGUCUGGAGGUGCCACCACACUCCUCUCUCUGAGCAUCACCCUCCUCUGCUCCUUGUCCUACUCCCUGCCUGCCCGUCACAGCUGCUGGCUGCCCGGCUCUGCUCUCCAGGAGAUGUGUAAAUAUCAGUUAAUCUGAUGCUCUGAGUUCUAAAAAAACCACCCAAAAUCUCCACCACGACUAUUUUAUAGCCUCAGGGAGUGAGAUUGCAAAGAGGCGGUGCCCUUGGGAGGUCAGGGAGAUAGGAAUAUGGAACAGGAAUUCAGUGUGCAUAGACACAUGAAAAUAUCCAGGAAAUGGGAACUAUAUGUCCAGAAAAUAUCUUUUACACGGCAGUGACCAAGCCUUUCAGGGACCUGUGUGGAGCAGCAGUUGUCCUUGUGCACCAAGCCAAAGACGGGUCUGGGAACGCUCCCCUCUGCAUUGGGGUUAACACCCUUCAGAAAUGCCUCACCCAUUGCCCCCACCAUAGUGGGGUCCCCUGCCUCAGGCUCUGCACCUGCUGAGCCCCACAGCCCAGUGUGAGCCCUGCACCACCAUGGCAGAUAUCUCACUGGCAGCACCUCCUGCCACAGCAGCUCCCACCUGCACUCAGCAUCCUCCUGCUGAGCUGUGCAGGAGCUGUUGUGUGGCACCGGCCUGGAAAUCUGCUUUCCUGGUUUCUGGGUACAAGACAGCUCAGGUUGCUGGUGCAAACAUGAGAGCUCAGUGCAAGAAUCUCUGUGCAGCUCAGCCUGGCCAGCCUCACACAGCCCGGGUGGGCAGUCUGUGAUAAUCUUGCCUGGGAGUCAGGCAACAGGAAAAUAUUCCUGGCUGAAGAACUUGGCUGCAAUUUGUCUCCCUGAAACCCGAUUUGUUUGACUCCUAAAUUACCUACUCCUAAAAUUUUCUCCUAAAUUUACUCCUAAACUACCUAUCCAGUUGUCUCCAGCUGCUAUUUCUUCCCAAUUUCUCCUGUGAAUUUGCACACUGCUAAGGACUAACCUCAAGAUUCCUGUUUUUCUGUCUCACUUCAACCCUUUCUUAAACUAGAGGAACAAGCGUACCUCUUUUCCCCACCCAUGACACCAUUCCCAAUUUGGCAGUCACUAUAAUCACAGCUUCUGGUCCGUCACAACAGCACCUUGGGAUGAAGACCUGGUUUCUGUGCAGAGGAAUCUUAAAUAAAGCUGGGCACAGCUCUGUUUCAGAGAUGCA